UACGGGGGGGGCAAGCGUUGUUCGGAAUUACUGGGCGUAAAGGGCGCGUAGGCGGCCAUCUAAGUCAGACGUGAAAUCCCCCGGCUUAACCUGGGAACUGCGUCUGAUACUGGACGGCUCGAGUUUGGGAGAGGGAUGCAGAAUUCCAGGUGUAGCGGUGAAAUGCGUAGAUAUCUGGAGGAAUACCGGUGGCGAAGGCGGCAUCCUGGACCAACACUGACGCUGAGGCGCGAAAGCUAGGGGAGCAAACGGG
RNAcentral lists this ribosomal RNA (253 nucleotides) under uncultured bacterium. Its description in RNAcentral is "partial 16S ribosomal RNA". It matches the Rfam family "Bacterial small subunit ribosomal RNA", at positions 524 to 776 of the family's 1533-position model. The record is from RNAcentral.